UAGUCGAUUUUGGUCAUCUCUUUUUGGAUUUUCCAUUGGUCUUACUAAAUUCUUGUUGGGGCCAAAAGAAUGAUGAGGUACUUCACAUCCCUUUCUCUUUUUUAGAGAUGUUAUCAACUCCUACUCAUUCGUAAGCAAGAUAUGACCACAAGUUAUCAACAUAAAGUUUGGUUGACAAGAGGGAGAGACUUAAAGUUAUAGGUUAGUUGUUAGUCGUAUUGAAUUUAUGACAAAGCCCCUCUGACGAAGUAGCCUACAAUGAAUGAGUCUGUUAAAUAGGGCAAUAGAAUGAUAUUUCUAUAUGAUAAAAAGUGCUGCAAACAUUGCAGUUGUGAGCAAGGUUCACCGUACUGGUACCGGACCCCGUACCGGUGCCGCACUAGCAUAGUGUCGGUACAGUAUGGUGUGAAAUUCUUUUGGCGUACCGAGGGUCGAUAUGCCAUUUGUACCGGUACCAAAUCGGUACGGUACGGUACGAUACGCUUGGUAUUGUUCAGUAUGGUACGACAUACCAUGGUUGUAAGUCUUCCUUUACAUACAUACUUACAUAUAAGGCUUAUUUGGAUUUUAGUCGAUUUUUAGGAAGCAGAGCCUACCACUCUAGUAAUUC
This 610-nucleotide long non-coding RNA is filed under the name Phoenix dactylifera (date palm). RNAcentral's name for it is "long non-coding RNA (PDAC_LNC015457)". Lineage: Eukaryota; Viridiplantae; Streptophyta; Magnoliopsida; Arecales; Arecaceae. The record is from RNAcentral.